Molecule: long non-coding RNA, 250 nt
Filed under: Callithrix jacchus (white-tufted-ear marmoset)
Lineage: Eukaryota; Metazoa; Chordata; Mammalia; Primates; Cebidae
Description: lncRNA (ENSCJAG00000072379.1)
Source: RNAcentral
AAGCACAGCGUCAGCGUGACAUAAGCACAGGGUCAGCGUGACAUAAGCACAGCGUCAGCGUGGCCCAGUUACGCACCUGACAGAGACAUGGCAUGCAGGGAGAGGCAAAAAAUGGCAAAAAAUACAGCUAAGAUGGAGUCAGGCUAACACAAGAAAUAACACAAAGAUCAAUAACCGGAAGGAAGCCAGAGGGAUGAAAAUACAUGGUGGAUGAGGCUUGUUUUGCACAAGGCAAGGAAAAGAAUAUUUA